UUCGCCCUUAGAGUUUGAUCCUGGCUCAGGACGAACGCUGGCGGCGCGCCUAACACAUGCAAGUCGAACGAGCGAGAGGAGGUUUACUUUCUCAAGCGAGUGGCGAACGGGUGAGUAACGCGUGAGGAACCUGCCUCAAAGAGGGGGACAACAGUUGGAAACGACUGCUAAUACCGCAUAAGCCCACGACCCGGCAUCGGGUAGAGGGAAAAGGAGCAAUCCGCUUUGAGAUGGCCUCGCGUCCGAUUAGCUAGUUGGUGAGGUAAUGGCCCACCAAGGCGACGAUCGGUAGCCGGACUGAGAGGUUGAACGGCCACAUUGGGACUGAGACACGGCCCAGACUCCUACGGGAGGCAGCAGUGGGGAAUAUUGCACAAUGGGGGAAACCCUGAUGCAGCGACGCCGCGUGGAGGAAGAAGGUCUUCGGAUUGUAAACUCCUGUUGUUGAGGAAGAUAAUGACGGUACUCAACAAGGAAGUGACGGCUAACUACGUGCCAGCAGCCGCGGUAAAACGUAGGUCACAAGCGUUGUCCGGAAUUACUGGGUGUAAAGGGAGCGCAGGCGGGAAGGCAAGUUGGAAGUGAAAUCCAUGGGCUCAACCCAUGAACUGCUUUCAAAACUGUUUUUCUUGAGUAGUGCAGAGGUAGGCGGAAUUCCCGGUGUAGCGGUGGAAUGCGUAGAUAUCGGGAGGAACACCAGUGGCGAAGGCGGCCUACUGGGCACCAACUGACGCUGAGGCUCGAAAGUGUGGGUAGCAAACAGGAUUAGAUACCCUGGUAGUCCACACUGUAAACGAUGAUUACUAGGUGUUGGAGGAUUUGGCCCUUUCAUGUGCGGCAGUUAUCACAAUAAAAUAAUCCACCUGGGGCGUACGACCGCAAGGUUGAAACUCAAAGGAAUUGGCGAGGGCCCACACAGGCCAGUGGAGUAUGUGGUUUAAUUCGACGCAACGCGAAGAACCUUAACCAAAGUCUUGACAUCCUGCGACGCACAUAGAAAUAUGAGUUUCCUUCGGGACGCAGAAGACAGGUGGUGCAUGGUUGUCGUCAGCUCGUGUCGUGAGAUGUUGGGUUAAGUCCCGCAACGAGCGCAACCCUUAUGGUCAGUUAGUACGCAAGAGGACUCUGGCCAGACUGCCGUUGACAAAACGGAGGAAGGUGGGGAUGACGUCAAAUCAUCAUGCCCUUUAUGACUUGGGCUACACACGUACUACAAUGGCGUUAAACAAAGAGAAGCAAGACCGCGAGGUGGAGCAAAACUCAGAAACAACGUCCCAGUUCGGACUGCAGGCUGCAACUCGCCUGCACGAAGUCGGAAUUGCUAGUAAUCGCAGAUCAGCAUGCUGCGGUGAAUACGUUCCCGGGCCUUGCACUCACCGCCCGUCA
RNAcentral lists this ribosomal RNA (1386 nucleotides) under uncultured bacterium. RNAcentral's name for it is "16S ribosomal RNA". It matches the Rfam family "Bacterial small subunit ribosomal RNA". The record is from RNAcentral.